Molecule: ribosomal RNA, 250 nt
Filed under: uncultured bacterium
Lineage: Bacteria
Description: partial 16S ribosomal RNA
Rfam family: Bacterial small subunit ribosomal RNA
Source: RNAcentral
UACGGAGGGUGCAAACGUUGCUCGGAAUCAUUGGGCGUAAAGCGCGCGUAGGCGGCUUGGCAAGUUGGAUGUGAAAGCCCUGGGCUCAACCCAGGAUGUGCAUUCAAAACUGCCAAGCUUGAAUCUCGGAGGGGGUCAGGGAAUUCCCGGUGUAGAGGUGAAAUUCGUAGAUAUCGGGAGGAACACCAGUGGCGAAGGCGCUGACCUGGACGAAGAUUGACGCUGAGGCGCGAAAGCGUGGGGAGCAAAC